GACGAACGCUGGCGGCGUGCUUAACACAUGCAAGUCGAACGGAAAGGCCCUGCUUUUGUGGGGUGCUCGAGUGGCGAACGGGUGAGUAACACGUGAGUAACCUGCCCUUGACUUUGGGAUAACUUCAGGAAACUGGGGCUAAUACCGGAUAGGAGCUCCUGCUGCAUGGUGGGGGUUGGAAAGUUUCGGCGGUUGGGGAUGGACUCGCGGCUUAUCAGCUUGUUGGUGGGGUAGUGGCUUACCAAGGCUUUGACGGGUAGCCGGCCUGAGAGGGUGACCGGCCUCAUUGGUACUGAGGUACGGCCCAGACUCCUACGGGAGGCAGCAGUGGAGAAUAUUGCACAAUGCGCGGAACCCUGAUGCAGCAACGCCGCGUGCUGGAUGACGGCCUUCGGGUUGUAAACCGCUUUCGCCUGUGACGAAGCGUGAGUGACGGUAAUGGGUAAAGAAGCACCGGCUAACUACGUG
RNAcentral lists this ribosomal RNA (468 nucleotides) under uncultured bacterium. RNAcentral's name for it is "partial 16S ribosomal RNA". It matches the Rfam family "Bacterial small subunit ribosomal RNA", at positions 28 to 507 of the family's 1533-position model. The record is from RNAcentral.